RNAcentral lists this ribosomal RNA (846 nucleotides) under Triticum aestivum (bread wheat). RNAcentral describes it as "partial small subunit ribosomal RNA". The record is from RNAcentral. Lineage: Eukaryota; Viridiplantae; Streptophyta; Magnoliopsida; Poales; Poaceae.
AUAAGGGCUUUCCCUGCUGCUGCUCCUUCAACUCGGCCGCGUGGUCAUCGCCCAGUUCCACCUUAUUCCUGGCCUUUGCGGCGUCCCUGGGCACGCUGUCGCUCUUCGUCGCCACGGUCACCUAGGCCGGCGGCAUCUCCGGCUGGUCCACGGGCGACGGCGCGCCUGUCGACUCUGGGGGCUCACUCCGCCUGUCGUCCAUCGGCGACCGGCAGCUGCUCAACGGCUCCAGUGUCGUGCUCUAGUCAUCCGGCACCAUCGUCGCCCUCCAAGAGUGGCAACCUCGUGCUCAAGAACUCCGUGGCGGGCGUACUGUGGCAGUCCUUCGACCACCCCACGGGCAGUAUGGUCAUGUCACAGACCUUUGCCUCCGGCAUGAACCUCAAAUGCGGCCCCUACGUCUUCAUCGUUGACAAGGCCACCGGCAACCUAACGCUCAGGUGGGCCAUUGCUGGCUCCGCCACCGUCGCCUACUUCAACAAGGGCUACAAUUCCACCUUCACCGCCAACAAGACGCUCAGCUUCCCGACGCUCAAAAAUCAAGACGCAGACGAACGCAUCGUCUCUCUCACCGACAACAUGCUCUCCUCCUCCAUUGUCGUUGCCUACAACAGCAACUACGGUGAGAGUGGCGACAUGCUGUGGUUCGUGUGCCUUGACACGGACGGCAACUUCGGCGCUUACUACGCCGGUGCGCCAGUGGCACGGCGACCGAGCAGUGAUCGGCGGUGGCGGACCAGUGUGUGGUGUUCGGCUACUGCGGUAACAUGGGCGUGUGCUGCUCCUCUCCCUCUCCUACACCGUUCAGCGUUGCCUUCUCUAGAAUCUACACGCCACGCACCGCCU